GAUGAACGCUGGCGGCGUGCCUAAUACAUGCAAGUCGAGCGAACAGACGAGGAGCUUGCUCCUCUGACGUUAGCGGCGGACGGGUGAGUAACACGUGGAUAACCUACCUAUAAGACUGGGAUAACUUCGGGAAACCGGAGCUAAUACCGGAUAAUAUAUUGAACCGCAUGGUUCAAUAGUGAAAGACGGUUUUGCUGUCACUUAUAGAUGGAUCCGCGCCGCAUUAGCUAGUUGGUAAGGUAACGGCUUACCGAGGCAACGAUGCGUAGCCGACCUGAGAGGGUGAUCGGCCACACUGGAACUGAGACACGGUCCAGACUCCUACGGGAGGCAGCAGUGGGGAAUCUUCCGCAAUGGGCGAAAGCCUGACGGAGCAACGCCGCGUGAGUGAUGAAGGUCUUCGGAUCGUAAAACUCUGUUAUUAGGGAAGAACAAAUGUGUAAGUAACUAUGCACGUCUUGACGGUACCUAAUCAGAAAGCCACGGCUAACUACGUG
Molecule: ribosomal RNA, 497 nt
Filed under: uncultured bacterium
Lineage: Bacteria
Description: partial 16S ribosomal RNA
Rfam family: Bacterial small subunit ribosomal RNA
Source: RNAcentral